UGCCAGCCGCCGCGGUAAUACGAAGGUCCCGAGCGUUGUUCGGAAUCACUGGGCGUAAAGGGAGCGUAGGCGGCGUGGUAAGUCAGAUGCGAAAUCCCGGGGCUCAACCCUGGAACUGCAUCCGAUACUGCCGUGCUAGAGGAUUGGAGAGGUAGCUGGAAUUCUUGGUGUAGCAGUGAAAUGCGUAGAUAUCAAGAGGAACACUCGUGGCGAAAGCGAGCUACUGGACAACUCCUGACGCUGAGGCUCGAAGGCUAGGGCAGCGAAAGGGAUUAGAUA
Molecule: ribosomal RNA, 279 nt
Filed under: uncultured bacterium
Lineage: Bacteria
Description: partial 16S ribosomal RNA
Rfam family: Bacterial small subunit ribosomal RNA
Source: RNAcentral